CUCUGUGUGGCUCAGGCGGUAGAGCAUGGCGCUUGCAACGCCAAGGAUUGUGGGUAUGAUUCCUGCUGGGGACA
RNAcentral lists this transfer RNA (74 nucleotides) under Salmo salar (Atlantic salmon). It matches the Rfam family "tRNA". From Rfam's summary of the family: Transfer RNA (tRNA) molecules are approximately 80 nucleotides in length. Their secondary structure includes four short double-helical elements and three loops (D, anti-codon, and T loops). Lineage: Eukaryota; Metazoa; Chordata; Actinopteri; Salmoniformes; Salmonidae. The record is from Rfam by way of RNAcentral.